CCCCCCCUGGUCCUCCAGCAGCGCCAGCACCACAGAUGUACCACUCUGCAGAUCCUUCUGCUGGUGGCUACAACUCGCAGCCCUACAUGGGAGGACAUCCACCACCACCAGCUCCUCCAGGUAGCUAUGCUCCAGUUCCUUGGGGACAACCACCACCUUAUGCUUCGUACCCUCCGCCGCCACCACCAGGCAUGUACAAUCCUGCACCUGGCCAAACUGCUCCACAUUCAUAUGGUAUGCAAUACCCACCACCACCAGCUCCAGUACCUCCACCAGGCACUACGUCAAAUGAUGGUGCACAGAACUACCCUCCGGGUGUAACACCACCAAGUUCUGGUGCACCUACCCAGCCUGUCCCUGCUCCAGCAUAUGGGACCUCUGGUGCGCAAAACAUGCCACAUAUGUACCCUCCACCACCUUAUGGUUAUGCCCCAUAUUAUCCAUCUGUCACACCAGUCCAGCCGCCUCCACCACCACCACCACCAGCUAGUGUUGAUCCUUCACAAAGCAUUGCAACUGCACCUUGGGCCACUCACAACGCACCUCCUCCACCGCCACCGCCGGCUAGUGUUGAUUCCUCGCAGAGCGUUGCAACGGCACCUUGGGCUACCCACAAUGCACCGCCGCCACCACCUUUGCCAUCCUCCAACGACCAGCCCACUCCUCCCUAUGGUGCUGAUGCAGAGUAUGAUAAAUUUAUGUCGGAGAUGAAGUGAUAUGAGCGAAGCUG
This 730-nucleotide long non-coding RNA is filed under the name Triticum aestivum (bread wheat). Its description in RNAcentral is "long non-coding RNA (TAES_LNC024221)". Lineage: Eukaryota; Viridiplantae; Streptophyta; Magnoliopsida; Poales; Poaceae. The record is from RNAcentral.